RNAcentral lists this ribosomal RNA (500 nucleotides) under uncultured bacterium. RNAcentral's name for it is "partial 16S ribosomal RNA". It matches the Rfam family "Bacterial small subunit ribosomal RNA", at positions 30 to 523 of the family's 1533-position model. The record is from RNAcentral.
AUUGAACGCUGGCGGAAUGCUUUACACAUGCAAGUCGAACGGCAGCACGGACUUCGGUCUGGUGGCGAGUGGCGAACGGGUGAGUAACAUAUCGGAACGUAUCCAAUAAUGGGGGAUAACGAGUCGAAAGAUUCGCUAAUACCGCAUACGCCCUACGGGGGAAAGCUGGGGACCUUCGGGCCUGGCGUUAAUGGAGCGGCCGAUAUCUGAUUAGCUAGUGGGUGAGGUAAAGGCUCACCGAGGCGACGAUCAGUAGCUGGUCUGAGAGGACGACGAGCCAAACAGGAACUGAGACACGGUCCAGACUCCUACGGGAGGCAGCAGUGGGGAAUUUUGGACAAUGGGCGCAAGCCUGAUCCAGCCAUUCCGCGUGAGUGAAGAAGGCCUUCGGGUUGUAAAGCUCUUUCGCAAGGGAAGAAAACUUAGCCACUAACAUUGGUUGAGGUUGACGGUACCUUGAUAAGAAGCACCGGCUAACUACGUGCCAGCAGCCGCCGUAA